RNAcentral lists this transfer RNA (65 nucleotides) under Vesperus conicicollis. RNAcentral describes it as "tRNA-Asn". The record is from RNAcentral. RNAcentral also lists the same sequence under 1 other name. Lineage: Eukaryota; Metazoa; Arthropoda; Insecta; Coleoptera; Cerambycidae.
UUAACUGAAACCAAAAUAGAGGUAUAUUACUGUUAAUGAUAAAAAUGAGACUUUCUCCAGUUAAA